Long non-coding RNA from Gallus gallus (chicken), 10224 nucleotides. RefSeq lists it as uncharacterized. The transcript is spliced from 6 exons. Lineage: Eukaryota; Metazoa; Chordata; Aves; Galliformes; Phasianidae. The record is from RefSeq and is a predicted model, not a curated record.
AGACGAGGAGGUGGAAAAAGUGAAGUUGCUGAGGUUCUUUUUCUUUCUUUUCUUUUUCUGCUUUCCUGCAUGUAGAAGGUUAGUGUAAACCAAGUGAUGAAAUCGCUGAUCUUUGCCUUCUUGUUCCUUGAAAAACCUUGUAUAGGUGGCAUACUUCUAACCCUUAAGAUGUGCAAUCUGUAUGCAGUAACUGCCAGUGCCCUUAUUAGAUGAUCUAAAAGGAAUAGAAAUACAAGGAAGUCUGGAUGAUACACGAGGAGGAUACACCCACCAUGCUGAGGAUGGCCUGCCAGUGAAAUCUGGUUGAAAGCAGAAAAGUGCCUUGGAGGAGUCUAAACAGAGGAAGAUCAUUGUGGCCAACAGUUGGUUAAGAAGAAACACGUUCUCCAGACAAAAAAGAAAAAAAAUGCAGUUGCAUAUCUGAAGACUUUGUCCUUUUCCUUUCAGCACAGAGCUUUAACCAUUUCAGGCCUGAAGUCUUAUGUGUGGUGAGAGCUCAAGCUGCUUUAGUGUUGUUAUUUUUUCAAUUCACAUUGCCUUUUCAUGUUCCCUGAAGAAAAUAUGUAUGUGCCUGCUCUAUCUCUGAGAAUCUAGUUUUGGAGUCCCCAUAUUCAUUUAUCCACAUUUCUACCAUUCCCAGCAAUUUUUUAAUGAAAAAAAAAAAAAAAAGGGUAAAAUUGUUACUGUUUUUUUAUUUAUUAAGACAUUUGUAAAUUUUCAGUUCAAUCCUUUGUGAAAGCAUUUGAAAAUUUGUGUAUGUAAGGUUGUGACUAAUGAAGUUAUUCAGACAAAAAAUGUCUCAGAAUAGAAGGUAUAGAUCCUCUUGGGACACAAAACUAAUUCUGUUUCAUAAACUAACACAGCACAGUAUCAUCAGGUCACUGUUGCCGAGUGUUACUGUAUGUUGAUCAGUUAUACAGAAGGAAUGUGAAUAUUGCAUCUUGAGAGAAGUAGCUGAAGGGUAUGUUCUACUUAUCCUUACUCUUAGAAGAAGGUAUGGAGAAGUAAGUUUGUCAUUGUCAUUGCCUUCUGAAAGGGACUUGGUGCAGUGUUAUUUGUGUUCUUAGCAAAUGCGUUCCUUAGAACUUUUUUUUUUUUUUCUGUUAAAAAACCAUGGUGAUAGAGGACAAUCCUCAUGCUGACAGCUUUCUCAGAUCAGUAGGACAAUGUGCCUUGCAGUUUCUGGUGGUGAGAUUAGCCUGCAGUAUGGACUAAUACUUGACAGAAAACGAUCAUCAGUAGCAAUUGUGGUAGGCAGUAGAGGAGGGAGGGCUUGAGUAGGGAGAUUCAACAACCCAAUUUCCAGACAAAGUUAAAACUCUUUUUAGGGAAAGAUCCAAACACGGAUGACAGUAACAUUUCCACCAUGACAAUAGCGAGGAUUAGCAUUCCCUGGCAGCUAUUUGUUUUGAUAUUAUGAAUAUAUGGGAAUUAUAGCUGUUUGGCAAACUGUGCAGAGAACAAUUAUUGCUGAAUGAUAAAAAUAACAUAAAUCCAAGAAAGGUGAUUGGAAUCUAAUUUUACUUUAAAACUGGUCCUCUUCUAACUUGAUAAAUUGAAUCAACUAUUAAUAACACAGUGACCUGCUGAGUUAUUAAGCCUAUCUAAGGGAUUUACUCUCAGAAAGCAAUGUUCCAACAGAAUAAGCAAAACUUUCAGACUGUGGGUUUUUGGCUGUUUAUGAACUUAUGGAUUCUUCACUGGAAGCAGGGAGAAGAUAUAUGCUGCGAUCUCACUUUGAUAUGAUGUUCAGGGUGAGUUUGGUUAUACAUCAGAUGCUAGAAAGUAGAAAUGACUCCACUUUUGAACUGAUUCAUGUGCCUGAGUUUAUUUGUUAAUCAUAGUCUCCUUAUAAUUUGUUCACAGAGCUGAUCCAACAGAAAUUAAAGUGGUUGUUUAGUACUCAGCACUCAUUCACUGCAUGUCAGAUAAACAGUAGUGCUAGCAUGAGGACAGUGGUGGGAGUACUUGGCUGCACGUUAGAGCUAGAUUUUCUUAGCUGAGCUAUGAAAUUACAUCUUAAUUAUUUUAUACACAUGUAUGCAUAUAUAUUGAUACAAAACUACUAACAACUUUUAAGCAAACAGCAGUAUUGGUAGAACUGGACAUUAGAUGGUUAUAGCUUCUCUGACUUUACAAUCAUCCUGUGUUUUUUCCAUUUUGUUAUUUUCUUCCUAUUCUCCCCAGUGGCUAGAAUAUUUCCUGGUGGUGUGGCUGAACCAGUAAUAUCAUGUCCUAAGACAAGUGUGGGGACAAAGAGAUAGUUUUGUGCCAAAGCCAGCAGGCGAUUGUUGAAGAUAGGCAGGCAUUUGAAGGCUGUGUCUUUAAGAAUGGUGCUGUGCAGGUGAUGGUACCAGGGAAGCCCUAGCAUGCCUCUAUAUCUCUAAAAAAGAGGGCACAGUACAAAACUCAAAUACUGGUACAUCAACUAGCCAUAUUACCUAACAGCUAGCUUGCUAACUGCUCUAAUUUGGACCACUCCAUCCCAUUACUAAUGCUAUGUUAAAGUGUCAGUUGUGCUGGCACAUGCCAAUACAGCAUUUAUUUAGCAAUAUAAACAUAGCUUGUGUGAUUUAGAGAAAAUCUGGAAAAAAAUACUUGACAUAUCCCAAGGCGUCAAUUUAAUCACCUCUCAUGUUCUCUCUGGUGAGCCAGCCACACAGCUCAGCGUGUGGGGCUGGCAUAAAGACUCCCUUCUCCAAAUCUGGGCACUGAUGUGAAUAAGUCUUGUCCUGCCCUGAGGUCAUGAGAUCUCAAUUCUCCAUCUAUGAGGAGGAUGGGUUCUUGGUGAGGAUCCAAGCACAGCCAGGCCCAAUUUAUGUAUGCAGAGAAAGAGUUUGUUGCUCAGCAAUUAGUUAAUACUCCUGGCAUUCAAAUGACAUUUACAAUCAAACCAGUGAAUCUGGAUGAAGUUUGGGAUCAGAUCAUGGAAUUUCUUUCAAAGAUUUUCUUUUUUUCAGUCAAAUCAGCUACUGAAAAAAACUGAAGUUUUACCAAGCCUGAGCUGAAGCCUUGGGAGUCACAGUAUGCAUCCUUUCAUAUUAGGUACUUCUGUGCUUAACCAGCAAUCCUCUCACACUUAGAUCAGUAAGGAGGACAUGACCCCAAGAAAAUUAAAACGUCAGAGUCCUCACUGGUCUUUGGAGACACAGAUCUUUAAGAUAAAGGCAUCUCUAAACAGUGGAAGUGCUAAAAAAUUUGAAACAUUAUUAAAGUUUGUCUAUUGUUUUUUGUUUCUUUUGUAAACUGCUUGGAUAGCACUGCAUGAAAAAGCUGACUUUGGUUUAAUUGAUACAUGGCAGAAGGCAGUGUUCCUUUGAUGUUACUUUAAUUACAGCAAAAGGAAAAACAGCAAUAGCAGAAAGUACUUGAGUAGUAAUUUCAGCAGGUACAUCAGCAGUAAUACAAAAUUUAAUUCUUGCUUAUCAUUGUUAGCAGGGGGGAGAUUGUUCCUUCAGUUCUUUGCAGUGAAUCACCAGAUUAUCACAAAUCAGUCUCAUAAGUGCUAUUUUGAUAUCAUGAACUUGAGAGACCAGCAAUUUUCUUAUGUGCUCUUUACCUCCUCUCUUAGAAAUGGUUCUUUUCAGUGGUUAACUGGAGAAAUUAUACUACACUCCCUUGGUCUUACCAUAGAUAUUAUUUAUAGGGAGCAAUAUUUCCCUACGUGCACAGUGAAGUGAUGUUCAACCGCAUGUCAUCAGGAAGAUUAUAAUGGUAGCCAUACUAAUUUCUGUGAAAUAGUGAAAGGGAAACAAGAAACUUGAGAUGAAUCUAGAGGUCAGAAAUGUUAAUUAAUUUUCCAUGUUAAAAGGUUGUUCAUCUAGAAAGGAUAGUAAUUGUUGCUGAUUGAUGGAUGCAAGAAAGACAGUAUCUUUUCAAGAGUCAUUUGCUUAUCCUUUUUCUUUAUGAGCCAAACACUUAUGCCUGAUGAGAAGAAGAACAGAAUAGUCACUAGAGCUGAGCAUUAAAUAAUGAGGGUAUGUUACAGAUUACAUAUUUUGGAGAUAAGUUGUUCAAUUUUCUCCAAGCUGACUUCCAAAUUUGUCUUCAUGGCAGUAGUAAGGAACUUUCUCAUGCUCUUCACUCCCGUGUGGACAUUCCUUCUACUUCUGUAUAACAGGAUGGCAUUCUAUAGCUGGUAUGAGGUUUGCCCUCUUGUUAUAUGGUGACUGACAACAUUCUCUGGCAUCAGAUGAUAAAAGCAUGGCAACUGAAGUGAUAUCAUGAAAGAGGUGGAUCAGAAUAUAUUUGACAGAUAAAUAUCUGCACUGUGGGUAGGAUUCAAGUAUCAAGGUGACAACAGUGCACACAGAGAGGGGAAUCUGAUCUCUUGAGUUUGUCCAUAAGUAUUCCCUUUCCUGAUAUAUAAAUGAAAAAUGAGACUGUAGACGACUGAAGGAAGAAUUUCUGUAUAGGCAUAACCCUCUAAAAUGAAUCAUCAUUGACAAAGCUCUGAUGAUGAAAUACACAGUUCUGUUCAAUGCAUGUAACCCAGUUUUCACCAAUUUUAUGCUUUUUAAGUGGGAAUUACAUCCUUCUGCCUCUAGGCAUACCUGUGAAAUUAAGCAAUGCAGUUAGAGUUACAGGACGCAUUCACUGGUGGGUUACAAUCAAGAUAAAGCUUGGAUCCUAUGGUGGUCUUCAGAUUGUAAAGUCUAUGGAUCACUCUCCUAAGAAUCUAAGAAAUUGAAUCAUUAAAAGGUUUUUUUUUUUUUUUUAGUAGGUUUAAAUUCACCUUGUAUCUGUACUGGGAGAUGUAUAGAGGUCUGCAUUAAAAACGGCUGAAACUAAACUGCACUAGUUUGGUAUAUAAAAGGAAGGAAAGAGGGAUGAUAAAAGGAUGUAUUUCAAAGCAUUAGUUGUAAAAUUUGUCCCUAUAUUGGAAACAGAAAAGUACACUGUUUGGAAAGAUGAUGGUUGUGUUUUCAUGGGUAUCGGAAGAUCUAGUGGCUCAGCCUCCAUUUGUUAAACAAAAUGAAGAUUUCAGAGAGAAUACAAGGCUUUCUGGAGGGUAAGGAAGGGAGAAAAAGGCUCAUUGCUGGCCAUUGUAGGCCCAACUAAGAAAUAACUGCUGAGAUUCAGCCACAUGGUGUUUGCAGUAUAAUUAAUUCAUUCAAGCCUUGGAGAAGUGCCUUUGCUAUUUUUAAUCUAAAUGAAUCCCUUCAACCAUUAGGUUACAAUGUGGUAUUUUGGGAAUGUUUGAUUUCUUUUUAAUUUUAAUUUUUAUUUUUUUUAAUAUCUUGCGCACUUUCCUGAACCCCCAGGUAUAUGGCUUCGCUGCUGUGGUUUAGUAAUGAAUGAAAACUGUUAACCUGGCAGCAGCACUGCCCUGGAGGUGCCUGAACUAAGGCAAAGCUAAGGCUUCUCCCGCCAGGCAGAGCAGGGCUCACUCAGCAUCCUGCAGUCCCUCUUCUGGUGAGCGUAUGAACAACUAUUUCAGGGGCUGAGGAGACAUUCCCUUUGUCUUUUCCCGAUACUCUUUGCAAACUGUUCUGUUUUCUGCAUUUCCUCUUAUCACUAGGUGCUUUAAUUAACCAGAAUUGAAAAGGCUCUAGAUUUAAUAUCUCCUUUUAAGAAAGGAAGAGAGGGUGUUAUUCCUCAACAUUAAUAAUAGCUUUGUCAGAAUAUCACGAUGUAGAAAAUAAGUAAAUAUUAAAUGUAGCUAAAAUGCAGUAAAAUAACAGUAUCCUACCAAGCUAGUAGACAAACUUUUUAAAUGAAUUAAAUACUUCUGUUCUUCCAUAUAUGUACAACUUGUUUCUCUGUACUAGAAAACAUUUGUGUUCUACAUAUUCUUAUUUGAAUGACAUACAACUCUAUGUUCAGGUAUCUCUGAACCUCUGUUUUCUACUUUUAGCUUUAGAUAUCAAAGUUCCUAAUUGAAUUUCUGAGAGAAUUUUCUUAUCAUAUUAUGGUCUUCUAUUAACCUUUCUCAUUUCUCUCAGAUGCAGUAUCUAUUCUUUGCUUGCCAGUGGCUGGAAUAUAUUUUCCAUUUACUCUUGAGAGGUCUGAGUACGGUAAGAAGUGUAUGGAUUCCAUUAACGUUAAUACUUCAAUCACUUUAUUAACUUUUUUCUUUCACUUUUUACUUUUUGAUCCUUUUCCAGAUGGAGGUGAACAAUGCAUAUCUGCUUAAUCAAAAUCAGGCUUAAUCAAUUCUGGUUUUUUAGUGUCUAUAUAUACGUACAGAAAAAGCAUGCUUCACUCUCUGUGUUGGAGAAAGAAAAAUCUUAGGGAGUAGUGUUUAAACAGAUUGUAGUGAUGUAGGAACUGAAAUUCAUACUAUACCGUAAAACUGUAAUAAGAUGUUAUACUAUUAAAAUAUUGCCUUAAAAAUUCUCUGCUUGGGAGAAAAUCUUGAUCUUGACCCACAAAACUUGAGAACCUCAAUUACAUUUGAUUUAUGUCAGCACUUGGUUUAUCUUUUCUGUAACACUCAGAACACAUACGUAUAUAUACUUAGAAGAUAUAAACUGCAAUGUCACUGAAUCCAUACUGAACACUAAAGGAAAAAUCCUGAGCUUAUUUAAUAAAGGACUGAGCUGUACUCUGUUCCCUAUGUCUUAUGGAAGAACAUAGAGUUCAUCUCAACCAGCUAACAAAUUCUGAAAAUAAAAAGCCAUUGUACAUGUAAAAGCUGUAGAGUAGACAAGGUAAAUGUUUAGCACAGUAGAAAUGCUUACCUAAGACAUUUAAACAUUAUGGACAUUUCUUAACCAUAACCACCUGACAGACUGAGGCUACAGGGUUUAUAUGUGAGUUUAAAUCAAUACACUGAUAUACCAAUAUGAUAGUCUGCCAUGACAGCUGCGCCCCAAAAGUGGACACAUGGUAUUUAAGUACUUGUGCAAUAGAAGUUCUUAUUGUUGGCAAAGGCUGGCAUCUAAGUUGACGUCAAAAGAUCUUGCCCUUCUGUGAAUACAAGGAAAGAUCUUCCUUUCUCUUUCCUAUCACUUUGUACAUACGAAUUUGUUCUCACACCCCUUGCCUUUGAUGUUUCAUACCUUCUAAAAAGAAUGUAGUCAUUCACAAGGUCUUAACUACUCAAGGCCAUAAACACUGCAUUUUAGACUGUUACCCUUCAAGUCUUUGAGCUACCUCCAACUCAACAUUAAUUUUCCUGGGUUACUCGCCUUGAGUUAAUUAGUUCUCUCUACUGUCUGCCCACAUCUUUGAUUUGUUUUAGAGAUUUUCUUACUUGUACAGAAAAAGAUUUCUUCUUGCUGCAUGCAAGAGAAGUGAAAUAAUGGCCUGCAAUAUUCUGCAAGUUUAUUAAUUCAGGAAGUUGGAAAUCAUAUUGUCAUUCUCCACAGGGAAACCUAUUAUUAUUAUCACCAUUAAGUACUGAUUAAAUAUACAUUGUCCUUGUAUAAAUAUAUUAUGCUAAUAAUCCUUCCAUGAUCUUAUAAUACUUCAGGAUAAUUCCAAAACCAACCUAUGUAGAAAAUCCCAUUUUUUUUUUUUUUCAAUAGACCAUGUACUGAUUUUCCUCUACAUAGGCCACCAGAUCACAAAUAUAGGAAAGAGAUAGUGAAGCUAGGGCCAAGCUUUGGAUUUGCAGUAUUUUUCAUUAAAACCAUAUGAACAUCAAGCAGUUUUUAGGGAGACUCGCAUCAGUACAGCUAGUACAGUAUAAUCUGUAGACAAACAUGAAUUAAUAGCACUGAAACUUGGGCUAACUGCUGUUUCUCCUGCCAUACUUUCACUCAACCAUCUCAAAACUGCUAACUUCAUUGACCAAUUUUUGUAGCUCAUGUUGCCAAAGGAUGCAUUUUUUACCAGAGCCUGAGCUACUUGAAAGCUUUUUCACAUUUCUUUGAACCUCCCAAAUAACUGCAAGGUAGAGAUGCUCUCACUCAGGCAUAAUGUAUUCAAAUAUGGUACAGGUAUUUGUAUGGAAUAAUGUCUGUGUGUAACAUCCAGAGGAUUCGCCUUGAAAUCAGUCUCUGGAUAGAUAACAGCCUUGGAAAGAAUAAUGAGCCUUGUAAGAGUUAAGAACAUUGAUUUUACUGUGGCUAUUGAGAUUUUAACACUACAUCUUGGUUUGCUGAUGACUGGAAUGCAGUGAUAUAAACAACUUGAGGAGGACAUAUUAACUAUGUGCAAUGAAGGUUAACAUUUAAAAUAGAGACAGAAGUGUUGUGCAUUUAUAUGAAAGUUCAAGUGCAAAACAUAUAUUCGUGAAAAAUGCAAGCAAGCAGAGAUAAUUUAAAUAACACAUGGAAAUAGCAUCAGGAUCAAUUUACAUCUACUCUUCUUCAGCCAAAUAAAAUCAUGUUGUAUCAUUUGAGGAGAGUUACAUGGCUUUGCGCAUGCUAUUCACUCCUUUUGAGACAUAUGUUUUCAACACUGUUGAUGUAUUAGUGAAGUGCAAAAUUCUUCUCUGCAAGAAUAUUUUUUCAGUUUCUUUUCAGUGAUAGAACACUGAAGACUCAUUUUCCAUUUAAAAUAAUGUACACAGAAUGACAUGAAAAGCACAGAGUAACAUUUAACUUUGAAAUAUUCAUUUUUUCUGUAAUAUUUACGGUGUAACAGAGAAGCAUCUUGAGACCCAUGCCAUUAUUUUUUCUUAAGAUGAAACAGACUGAUAUAAAGCUCAGGAAGCUGGGAAUAAAUUCAUUUUGAAGAAUGAAGGCAGCUGUGUAAAAUGUUUAAAGAAAUAAUUAUUUAUGGUCCCUUUGGAUAAGUUGCAUCCAAUUUGAUUUUUAUUUUUUCUAAGAAGGAAUUUGAGGAAACCGUUUGUUUUCACCUGAAUUAAUGACAGACCUGCAGCAAGGCAAAAUAAAAUAAAAUAAUUAAUAUCCCAUACUUCCUGAAUGUGAUGAUGUGAACAUGCAUUAAGCAAAACAAGCCCAGGAAGGCAAGCUGUUCUCUGCAAUGGAAACUAUUCCAGUGAAGGGGUGAGAAUGCUACAGGUGUGCCAAACUGGGCUGCAGGUAAGUCUCUAAUGGAGUUGUACAAAAAGUGCACAAAUGGGUACUAUUUAUAUUUUGUCUCUUUGUUUCUUGGUUGGUUUUUUUUUCCUUUCCUUGUUUGUUUUUUGCUCAUAUUUGUUGGCAUUUUUAGCAGAUAGAACUCUUGGUCCAAUACUUAUUAUUAUGCCAUUUCAGGCUUGGUGCAAACAGAGCCCCAUGCUAAUCCUUUAAUAUUUCUGAAAUUAAAUAAGACUUCAGUAAGCUCAAUGAUUUUUUUCUUGAAGAUGAACUGUGAUUGAGAAUCAUACCAACCUUCCUCACAUCUCUAUGGAGGAAUUCCUGCUGGACAAAUAACUCAUAAAAACAAACAAAAAAACAAAUAGUUUAGGAUAUGAUAAUUUUAGGUUCCUGUUAAACCACUUCUUGUAAGAAAUGGGAAGCAAAUGAAAGAAAGGAGAGAAAUUACGUGAAGAGUUAAAAAUAGGAGUUAUGUGGCUUAACAAAUUAAAAAAGCAAUACCAAAAACCUAUGACCUCUGUCUCCCUGACACUAGGGUCUGAGCUGAGGUGAGGUCUUCAGCAGCAAGAUCUACCAGUGGAGACUGAAGAGCACCCAAGCUCAACCUCAAUUAAGAGUAACAUAAGUUCCCUCUUUUCAAAUAGUCUUGAUGUUUCAUAAGAUCUAGCUCAUGGCACACUUUGUGUGUGGUGGGUUUGAAUAACACUGCCCAGAGCUUUUGGGUAACACAGCACUUGCUCUGUAGGCAGCAGCCCAGGACUUGCUAGCAGCCACUCAGCUGUUCUCUCCUGUCUGCUACCCAGAUGCUCACAAGUACAAUGCUGUGUUAACACAACCUAAUUAUCUGCCAUGUGCAACUAUUUAUACAUUCUUGCUGUGUUAGAGAGAUAUGAGGGCAGCUUCCCUUUCCUUAAAAAUCCCUUUGCACUUACUGGCAUUUUUGACUCAGUGUUGAGGAAAUUAAUAUUAAAAUGUAGCCCUUGUUUCUCUCCAUUUAGAGCACGGUCUUGCAUGUAAAAAAGAAAGCAUGCUUUGGAUUCCCUUAGUGAGUCAUCUCUGUUUCACUGGUGAUUCAUUUCUUGAAAAGAGAGGAACGAAAAUCUGGCCUGCUAAACACCAAGUGCCAUCUAUUUAUCUUUCUGUUUAUUUAUUUUAGCCCAGGGCACUUUCAAAGCAUGCCACUGCAGGAAUGCGGCUGGGCUGAGGGCUGCUGAAGCUGCUUUUUUUGUGUCUCUGCAGUAUGGAACUGAGAUGAAAUGGAGAACCCAUAUUCACACAAACUCUCUUCCAC